This 253-nucleotide ribosomal RNA is filed under the name uncultured bacterium. RNAcentral's name for it is "partial 16S ribosomal RNA". It matches the Rfam family "Bacterial small subunit ribosomal RNA", at positions 524 to 776 of the family's 1533-position model. The record is from RNAcentral.
UACGAAGGGGGCUAGCGUUGUUCGGAAUUACUGGGCGUAAAGCGCGCGCAGGCGGUUCUUCAAGUCAGAGGUGAAAGCCCAGAGCUCAACUCUGGAAUGGCCUUUGAGACUAGAGAACUAGGGGACGGGAGAGGGGAGUGGAAUUCCGAGUGUAGAGGUGAAAUUCGUAGAUAUUCGGAAGAACACCAGUGGCGAAGGCGGCUCACUGGCCCGUUACCGACGCUCAGGCGCGACAGCGUGGGGAGCAAACAGG